ACAAUUGAUUCCAUGUCCUAUUAAAAAAGAACAUGAGACAUUUAAUUUAAGAUAAUUCAAUUCUCACAAUAAACAAAUGAAUGCAAAAAUUUAACAAAUGAAAAACUAGAAAAGAGCUAUGAAACUUAAUAGUGUGAAUAAAAACAUGAGAGGAAAUGCAUGCUUAUGAUGAAAGCUAUCCAAACACUUCAAGUCAGUUUAAACAAACGAAGCCAAUUAUUGCUGGAAACUUACUCGACCAAAGUCAUCUAACUUUGGUUUGGGUGGUUGGCUUAGACCACAAAGUAAAUUCUGCUACUACAUUACAAAUUUAUCCAAAAGGUUGGGUGGAUAAUUUCCACAUUUAAUGUAAAUAAAGCAAAAAAAAAUAAAGAAAAAAAGGAUUUUGUGUUGACAAUAGUAGCAAGAAAAUACUACACAACAUUAAAUGCUAAUGCUAUCACCCAGGUACAGUCCCACCAUAGCAGGAUCCAAAGAGUGAGGUUUUGGAGACAAUCCUAAUCUUCAUCAUUUUUGCUGUAAGUGGCUAUUUUUAAUACUCGAACCAGAAACGUUGUGAUUGAAAGCCCAAAACUCUUUCCAUUGCACCCGGCAAUAGCUCCUUGAAAAUCAAGAACUGCAUAUUGCAAAUUGAGUUGUAUAUGCAUUUCUUGUUAUGAAUUACGAUGUUUAUAACAGGAAUAUCAAGAUACUUAAGAAUUAAAUGAUGAGAGACUUUCAUCAAAAGAGACUGACGUUCAUCAAGGGAGACCAAGAGAAUUUCUUUGCAACUGCACUAAGGAAUAAGCUCAUAAAGACAAUGAUGCCAAUCAAUGUUAUCAUUAAGUAAGUAACAGGAAUUCCUGCAGUUCUCUGACAGACUUCUGUUCUAAAAAGUUUAUGAUUCUACAACGUAUACCCCUUUUCCAUAAGAUCAACAAACACCAAAACAUGUAGCCAUUAUGCAUUACCACAACUGAUUCGCAUAAAAUAAUUUACUAGAGGCUUUUGACACAAACAUAUCAUUCAGUAGAGAACUCAAAACGCACAAUGCAGCAGAAAAAACAAACCAAUUGUCAAUGACAUUUGAUCAUUGUCGCUUUAAAUCAUAAAAAGCUAAAUAAAAGAAACUUCGUUAUAAAGAGGAAAAGGGGGAAGCAAAAAAAAGUAAAGCAAUUGCCAAAUUCAAUAACAAAUGCAUACACUCAAAUUCUAUUUCUUCAAAUCCCAGAGCAUCUAGAUUUCCUAGAAAUGCUUUACAGUGAAUGAGCAUGUGAUAUGGCAAUCACCAAAUACCCACUCUCAAUCUAAACCUCAUAAAUCAAAAUCUGCAGCACAAUGGAUUAAAAUUAAGAAUUACCCCAACUACAACAUAAAAUUCAAAACCAGAAAUAAAUGAGGAAAUUGAGAUUAUCAAAAAGCCUGCCUCAAUUUUAAAAUUUAUGCCCUCAAAAUAAAAACAAAACACCACAAACAGAAAACUACCAUAUUAACAUCAUAUAUGUCAUUACAAAUAGAAACCACUGAAAUACAAUACAAACAAUCCAAAAUUACUCCAUUCAAAAAAUAAAUAAAUAAAGCAAAUGUUAAUAAAAUAACAAAUUUACCUGAGAGCCAGCAAGU
Molecule: unclassified non-coding RNA, 1602 nt
Filed under: Hevea brasiliensis (rubber tree)
Lineage: Eukaryota; Viridiplantae; Streptophyta; Magnoliopsida; Malpighiales; Euphorbiaceae
Source: RNAcentral